This 705-nucleotide long non-coding RNA is filed under the name Heterocephalus glaber (naked mole-rat). Its description in RNAcentral is "lncRNA (ENSHGLG00000033155.1)". Lineage: Eukaryota; Metazoa; Chordata; Mammalia; Rodentia; Bathyergidae. The record is from RNAcentral.
CCAGCUUUCCCCUGUGCUGAAGCCGGAACUCCAGGCUCCUGGCCUUCAGCCUCCCUGCCUCUAGGCCUCUGGAUGUGGGUCGAGGCACGCUGCAUGAACCCGGGCCAGCGUGGAGAUGGCCUGUCGUGGGCCCCUCCCAGCCCUGACGACCUGAGCCAGCACCCCAUGGGUUUUAUCAAGUCACUAAGUUGCCCAGGCUAACUCGAGCUUGUGAUCCUCCUGCCUGGGCUCCCCAGAGCGCUGGGAUUACAGACCUUCGCCACUCAGCAGUUUCUAAGAGGUCGGUGGCGUUGUGUGCGAGUGUGUAGGCGAGUGUGCAACACUGCCCCUCUGAACAGCACCGAGCAGCCUCCCACAGCCUGACAGGAUUCUUGAGCACGUUCUCGAUGGCCACGUUUUCUAUUCCUGUGCCCAGAAAAUGUCUGCUUCGUUCUUGGGCCUCUCUCUUGGAAUCGACGUCGCGGCUCCUGCCGGAUGAGCUGCGAGCGCCAGCUCCCUUCCUUAAAUAGUCGGUCCCCAGGCGGCGACAUCCCGGCCGGGGUGGGCGCAGAGUGGCACUGGGGCUCGCACUCCGCAGCCAGCAUCUCCAGGGCUGCAGAGGCAGCGGGGCCGGGCCGGCUCUGCACCGCUGCGCUGCGUUCCCGUCAUGCGGAAGUUUCCCGAGCACCUCUUCUCCGCCUGCUGGGCCCGGAAGGCGACCCAGAU